GCCGGGUGCAGUGGCACACACCUGUAAUCCCAGCAACUCGGGAGGCUGAGGCAGGAGGAUUGCGAGUUCAAAGCCAGCCUCAGCAACUGUGAGGCCCUAAGCAACUCAGUGAGACCCUGACUCUA
This 125-nucleotide small RNA is filed under the name Marmota monax (woodchuck). The record is from RNAcentral. Lineage: Eukaryota; Metazoa; Chordata; Mammalia; Rodentia; Sciuridae.